This is a non-coding RNA of Candidatus Levybacteria bacterium CG2_30_37_29, 1814 nucleotides long. Lineage: Bacteria; Candidatus Levyibacteriota. The record is from Rfam.
UUUUUUGAGAAUUUGAUCCUGGUUCAGGAUGAACGCUAGCGGCGUGCUUUAGGUAUGCAAGUCGAACGGCUCACUCUUUUUGGUUAGUAUUUGAUACGAUAGUUGUAUGUACUACGUAUAUGUUUUAAAAAGCCAAAAAUACAAAACUAUUAAAAUCUAUAUUGGAUUUACUUCAGAUUUGAAAAGACGAGUUGAGCAGCAUAAUAGUUUAGAAACAAAAUCAACAAGGUUUGGGAUUCCCUGGAAGCUUGUUUAUUAUGAAGCGUUUUUAAACAAAAUAGAUGCUGUACAACGCGAAUUACAAUUAAAAACAGGAAGUGGUUCAAUUGGCUUUUUAAAACGUAGAAUUAAAAAGUCUUUGGAUACUAGUUGAAAAGAGUGAGCAGUGGCAGACGGGUGAGUAACGCGUAAGAAUCUACCUUUCAGUGGGGCACAACAGUCCGAAAGGAUUGCUAAUUCCCCAUAAUAUCUCCGGAUUAAAGGACUUAACUGUCCGCUGAAAGAGGAGCUUGCGCCCUAUCAGCUUGUUGGUGAGGUAAAGGCUCACCAAGGCUAUGACGGGUAGCUGGACUGAGAGGUCGGCCAGCCACAGGGGCACUGAGACACGGGCUCCACACCUACGGGUGGCAGCAACCAGGAAUAUUGGGCAAUGGACGGAAGUCUGACCCAGCGACGCCGCGUGGAGGAUGAAGGUUUUCGGAUCGUAAACUCCUUUUGCCAAGCCUUUCACAGCUUGGAGAAUAAGCAUCUACUAACUACGUGCCAGAAGUCUCGGUAAUACGUAGGAUGCAAGCGUUAUCCGGAUUUAUUGGGCGUAAAGAGUGUGUAGGCGGUUUUUUAAGUCGCGAUUUAAAGCCUGUGGCUUAACCACAGUGUUGGUCGCGAUACUGAAAAACUAGAGGGAUGUUUGGGGUACAGGAACAGUUGGUGUAGCGGUGAAAUGCGUUGAUAUCAACUGGAACACCGAAGGCGAAGGCAUGUACCUGUAACUCUCCUGACGCUGAGACACGAAAGCUAGGGUAGCGAAACAGAUUAGAGACCUGUGUAGUCCUAGCCGUAAACUAUGGAUGCUAGAUACCCCGGAACCAAGUGCAUAAACUUGGAAUUUUCAAUUUUAAAUUUUUAAUUUACAAUAAAUGUUUCAAUGUUUGAAAACUUCAAAUUCACUGAAAAUUGUAAAUUGAGAAUUGGAAAUUUCCAAAAGCUGUGCUUUUGGUUUUGGGGUGUCGUAAGCUAACGCGUUAAGCAUCCCGCCUGGGGAGUACGGCCGCAAGGCUAAAACUCAAAGGAAUUGACGGGGACCCGCACAACCAGUGGAGCGUGUGGUUCAAUUUGAGACGAAACAAAAAACCUCACCAAGGUUUGACAUGCUAUCGUUUUAUACUUUAUGAAAGUUUAGUAGAUCUAUAGAAAUAUAGAUGAUAGCACAGGUGUUGCAUGGCUGUCGUCAGCUCGUGCCGUGAGGUGUUCCCUUAAGUGGGGAAACGAGUGCAACCCCUAUCCUGUGUUACAUAUCACAGGAGACUGCCCCGACUUUGUCGGGGAGGAAGGCGGGGCGGACGUCAAGUCAGCAUGACCCUUAUACCUUGGGCUACACACACACUACAAUGGCGAAAAACAAUGGGUUGCAAGCUCGCAAGAGCAAGCUAAUCCCUCAAAUUUCGCCUCAGUUCAGAUUGGGGUCUGAAACCCGACCCCAUGAAGUCGGAAUUGGUAGUAAUCGCGGAUCAGCGUGCCGCGGUGAAUACGUUCUCGGGUCUUGUACAAAUUAAAUGCGCCUGGCAGUUUAAUAAGUCUCGCUGAUAGUUUUCAGU